Molecule: transfer RNA, 99 nt
Filed under: Xanthomonas arboricola pv. juglandis
Lineage: Bacteria; Pseudomonadati; Pseudomonadota; Gammaproteobacteria; Lysobacterales; Lysobacteraceae
Description: tRNA-Val
Source: RNAcentral
AGCGACAGGUUGGCGGUGGGCAGCACGUCGGUGUACUGACGGUUCAGGCGAUUGGUGCCGAUCGCCGGGCUGACGCCGUUCCAUUCGACGUUGCCGAUG